UACGAAGGGGGCUAGCGUUGCUCGGAAUCACUGGGCGUAAAGGGUGCGUAGGCGGGUCUUUAAGUCAGGGGUGAAAUCCUGGAGCUCAACUCCAGAACUGCCUUUGAUACUGGCGAUCUCGAGUCCGGGAGAGGUGAGUGGAACUGCGAGUGUAGAGGUGAAAUUCGUAGAUAUUCGCAAGAACACCAGUGGCGAAGGCGGCUCACUGGCCCGGUACUGACGCUGAGGUGCGAAAGCGUGGGGAGCAAACAGGG
RNAcentral lists this ribosomal RNA (254 nucleotides) under uncultured bacterium. RNAcentral describes it as "partial 16S ribosomal RNA". It matches the Rfam family "Bacterial small subunit ribosomal RNA", at positions 524 to 777 of the family's 1533-position model. The record is from RNAcentral.